GCCGGGAGAAGCAGGACAUCUGCGAGCACUGAAUACUAAAUAUUAUUUUAAGAUGGACUCACACUGGAUACAGACAGCAAAGAAAAAACAUUUGAAGUCAGCCUAAUCAAAUCAUUCCCCCAAGAUGGAGUAAGAAAAGGCCUUUACCAGCAUUUCCUGUGGAAGAAAAAAGGAGGUGUACCAAAAGAGGAUGCAGCUGAGCUCACAGGAGACACAUUACGCUGUCGGAGUGUAAGCCCAGACCCCACACGAAACAGACUGGUAGAACAAAAGGUAAAAUACAGGCCCGCUGAGCCUCUCAGCAGGAGGAGCAGUCUGGGGAACUUUAAGUUGGACUGAACUCAAAUCCAAUGUGCUCAGAGUGUUCCUCACAGCUAAUCAUCCAUCUCUGUAAAUCCACAAGUGUUCAAGCAGUUCAUAUACCAAUGAGAUAAAUGACGACAAGCUGUCUGGCUGCACUGUGGUCUUUGAACAAGAUGUAUAUCUUAUAUUCAGUGUUAUUAAUAAUAUUUUCAAAAGCAUUAUGAAGUAUAAGAGCUCUAUCUUUUGUCAUUUAACUAGACUUAACUAGAACAAAUAAAGUAAAAUGA
Long non-coding RNA from Labeo rohita (rohu), 590 nucleotides. RefSeq lists it as uncharacterized. The transcript has 3 exons. Lineage: Eukaryota; Metazoa; Chordata; Actinopteri; Cypriniformes; Cyprinidae. The record is from RefSeq and is a predicted model, not a curated record.